GUUGGUUAGAGCACAUCACUCAUAAUGAUGGGGUCGCAAGUUCGAAUCUCGCCGUAGCC
Molecule: transfer RNA, 59 nt
Filed under: Palpitomonas bilix
Lineage: Eukaryota
Description: partial tRNA
Rfam family: tRNA
About the family: Transfer RNA (tRNA) molecules are approximately 80 nucleotides in length. Their secondary structure includes four short double-helical elements and three loops (D, anti-codon, and T loops).
Source: RNAcentral